This 747-nucleotide long non-coding RNA is filed under the name Setaria viridis. Its description in RNAcentral is "long non-coding RNA (SVIR_LNC007029)". Lineage: Eukaryota; Viridiplantae; Streptophyta; Magnoliopsida; Poales; Poaceae. The record is from RNAcentral.
CUUGACCAACAUUGUAUAACAAAUUUAUAAGAUCCUCAGGUAGAUCAACUUAACUCUAAUAGUGAUAUGAGCUAACUAACAAAUACACAAGGCAACGUCAAGUUAAAGCUAAUAACUUAAGCACAUACAUAGAAUCUGGACAAUAGCACAGUAGUCACUUGUUUUAGCUAUAACUAGAGAUAUAAGCAUCUAAUAAGGGUGAUCCUAGAAUUUCUGUAAAUUUAACAAAAUUAUCUAAAACUUUGUUAUUCACACUAAAAUCUGAUUCAACAAAUAACAAGGUGAAAGCACACCAAUAAGCAGAUUGGUACAAACAAGGAUAGAAAACUGAUAUGAACUUCAGAGAGUAAUAAGUUGAGUUCUAGCUUUCACAACAAGGUGGUUCUAGACUUUUUAGAAAGCUUAGCAAACCACACACAACUUGUUAUAAACACCACAAGCUAAAACCAAAGUUAACUAGGUCAAACAUCACAAAGAAGAUAUCUCUAUCCAAAUUAGGACAGAUUCUGUUAUUCCACUUCACAAGCUCAUAACUGGAGAUUUAGACCAUCAAAAGGGGUGAUCUUCAACAAUUUGGAAGUCUCAUGAAAAACCUCACACUUCUUCUAUUAUCUACAAGAAAUGAUUCAAAGCUUAGCUAAGUUAAACAACACAAUCAUUAAGACCUAUACAUAGAGCACGCAAAACCUGACGAUGAACUUGUAAAAUCUAUAGAUCCUAAACCAUUAGGCUUAUGGUCAUGAAAAU